Molecule: ribosomal RNA, 2711 nt
Filed under: Salmonella enterica subsp. enterica serovar Typhi
Lineage: Bacteria; Pseudomonadati; Pseudomonadota; Gammaproteobacteria; Enterobacterales; Enterobacteriaceae
Also listed under: 1 other name
Description: partial 23S ribosomal RNA
Rfam family: Bacterial large subunit ribosomal RNA
Source: RNAcentral
CUGCGAUAAGCGCCGGUAAGGUGAUAUGAACCGUUAUAACCGGCGAUACCCGAAUGGGGAAACCCAGUGUGACUCGUCACACUAUCAUUAACUGAAUCCAUAGGUUAAUGAGGCGAACCGGGGGAACUGAAACAUCUAAGUACCCCGAGGAAAAGAAAUCAACCGAGAUUCCCCCAGUAGCGGCGAGCGAACGGGGAGGAGCCCAGAGCCUGAAUCAGCAUGUGUGUUAGUGGAAGCGUCUGGAAAGGCGCGCGAUACAGGGUGACAGCCCCGUACACAAAAGCGCAUGUGCUGUGAGCUCGAUGAGUAGGGCGGGACACGUGGUAUCCUGUCUGAAUAUGGGGGGACCAUCCUCCAAGGCUAAAUACUCCUGACUGACCGAUAGUGAACCAGUACCGUGAGGGAAAGGCGAAAAGAACCCCGGCGAGGGGAGUGAAAAAGAACCUGAAACCGUGUACGUACAAGCAGUGGGAGCACCCUUUGGGUGUGACUGCGUACCUUUUGUAUAAUGGGUCAGCGACUUAUAUUCUGUAGCAAGGUUAACCGAAUAGGGGAGCCGGAGGGAAACCGAGUCUUAACCGGGCGUUAAGUUGCAGGGUAUAGACCCGAAACCCGGUGAUCUAGCCAUGGGCAGGUUGAAGGUUGGGUAACACUAACUGGAGGACCGAACCGACUAAUGUUGAAAAAUUAGCGGAUGACCUGUGGCUGGGGGUGAAAGGCCAAUCAAACCGGGAGAUAGCUGGUUCUCCCCGAAAGCUAUUUAGGUAGCGCCUCGUGAAUUCAUCUCCGGGGGUAGAGCACUGUUUCGGCUAGGGGGCCAUCCCGGCUUACCAACCCGAUGCAAACUGCGAAUACCGGAGAAUGUUAUCACGGGAGACACACGGCGGGUGCUAACGUCCGUCGUGAAGAGGGAAACAACCCAGACCGCCAGCUAAGGUCCCAAAGUCAUGGUUAAGUGGGAAACGAUGUGGGAAGGCCCAGACAGCCAGGAUGUUGGCUUAGAAGCAGCCAUCAUUUAAAGAAAGCGUAAUAGCUCACUGGUCGAGUCGGCCUGCGCGGAAGAUGUAACGGGGCUAAACCAUGCACCGAAGCUGCGGCAGCGACACUGUGUGUUGUUGGGUAGGGGAGCGUUCUGUAAGCCUGUGAAGGUGUGUCGUGAGGCAUGCUGGAGGUAUCAGAAGUGCGAAUGCUGACAUAAGUAACGAUAAAGCGGGUGAAAAGCCCGCUCGCCGGAAGACCAAGGGUUCCUGUCCAACGUUAAUCGGGGCAGGGUGAGUCGACCCCUAAGGCGAGGCCGAAAGGCGUAGUCGAUGGGAAACGGGUUAAUAUUCCCGUACUUGGUGUUACUGCGAAGGGGGGACGGAGAAGGCUAUGUUGGCCGGGCGACGGUUGUCCCGGUUUAAGCGUGUAGGUGUGUGUUCCAGGUAAAUCCGGUUCACUUUAACACUGAGGCGUGACGACGAGGCACUACGGUGCUGAAGCAACAAAUGCCCUGCUUCCAGGAAAAGCCUCUAAGCAUCAGGUAACAUCAAAUCGUACCCCAAACCGACACAGGUGGUCAGGUAGAGAAUACCAAGGCGCUUGAGAGAACUCGGGUGAAGGAACUAGGCAAAAUGGUGCCGUAACUUCGGGAGAAGGCACGCUGACACGUAGGUGAAGUGAUUUACUCAUGGAGCUGAAGUCAGUCGAAGAUACCAGCUGGCUGCAACUGUUUAUUAAAAACACAGCACUGUGCAAACACGAAAGUGGACGUAUACGGUGUGACGCCUGCCCGGUGCCGGAAGGUUAAUUGAUGGGGUCAGCGCAAGCGAAGCUCCUGAUCGAAGCCCCGGUAAACGGCGGCCGUAACUAUAACGGUCCUAAGGUAGCGAAAUUCCUUGUCGGGUAAGUUCCGACCUGCACGAAUGGCGUAAUGAUGGCCAGGCUGUCUCCACCCGAGACUCAGUGAAAUUGAACUCGCUGUGAAGAUGCAGUGUACCCGCGGCAAGACGGAAAGACCCCGUGAACCUUUACUAUAGCUUGACACUGAACAUUGAGCCUUGAUGUGUAGGAUAGGUGGGAGGCUUUGAAGUGUGGACGCCAGUCUGCAUGGAGCCGACCUUGAAAUACCACCCUUUAAUGUUUGAUGUUCUAACGUGGACCCGUUACCCGGGUUGCGGACAGUGUCUGGUGGGUAGUUUGACUGGGGCGGUCUCCUCCUAAAGAGUAACGGAGGAGCACGAAGGUUGGCUAAUCCUGGUCGGACAUCAGGAGGUUAGUGCAAUGGCAUAAGCCAGCUUGACUGCGAGCGUGACGGCGCGAGCAGGUGCGAAAGCAGGUCAUAGUGAUCCGGUGGUUCUGAAUGGAAGGGCCAUCGCUCAACGGAUAAAAGGUACUCCGGGGAUAACAGGCUGAUACCGCCCAAGAGUUCAUAUCGACGGCGGUGUUUGGCACCUCGAUGUCGGCUCAUCACAUCCUGGGGCUGAAGUAGGUCCCAAGGGUAUGGCUGUUCGCCAUUUAAAGUGGUACGCGAGCUGGGUUUAGAACGUCGUGAGACAGUUCGGUCCCUAUCUGCCGUGGGCGCUGGAGAACUGAGGGGGGCUGCUCCUAGUACGAGAGGACCGGAGUGGACGCAUCACUGGUGUUCGGGUUGUCAUGCCAAUGGCACUGCCCGGUAGCUAAAUGCGGAAGAGAUAAGUGCUGAAAGCAUCUAAGCACGAAACUUGCCCCGA